UGAUCAGCCACACUGGAACUGAGACACGGUCCAGACUCCUACGGGAGGCAGCAGUGGGGAAUAUUGGACAAUGGGGGCAACCCUGAUCCAGCCAUGCCGCGUGUGUGAAGAAGGCCUUCGGGUUGUAAAGCACUUUUGUUGGGGAAGAAACCGGCCGGGUUAAUACCCUGGUUGAAUGACGGUACCCAAAGAAUAAGCACCGGCUAACUUCGUGCCAGCAGCCGCGGUAAUACGAAGGGUGCAAGCGUUACUCGGAAUUACUGGGCGUAAAGCGUGCGUAGGCGGUUUGUUAAGUCUGCUGUGAAAGCCCUGGGCUCAACCUGGGAACUGCAGUGGAUACUGGCGAGCUAGAGUGUGUCAGAGGAUGGUGGAAUUCCCGGUGUAGCGGUGAAAUGCGUAGAGAUCGGGAGGAACACCAGUGGCGAAGGCGGCCAUCUGGGACAACACUGACGCUGAGGCACGAAAGCGUGGGGAGCAAACAGGAUUAGAUACCCUGGUAGUCCACGCCCUAAACGAUGCGAACUGGACGUUGGGCACACUUAGGUGCUCAGUGUCGAAGCUAACGCGUUAAGUUCGCCGCCUGGGGAGUACGGUCGCAAGACUGAAACUCAAAGGAAUUGACGGGGCCCGCACAAGCGGUGGAGUAUGUGGUUUAAUUCGAUGCAACGCGAAGAACCUUACCUGGCC
RNAcentral lists this ribosomal RNA (687 nucleotides) under uncultured bacterium. Its description in RNAcentral is "bacterial SSU rRNA". It matches the Rfam family "Bacterial small subunit ribosomal RNA", at positions 301 to 980 of the family's 1533-position model. The record is from RNAcentral.